Brassica napus (rape) is the source of this 1359-nucleotide long non-coding RNA. RefSeq lists it as uncharacterized. The record is from RefSeq and is a predicted model, not a curated record. NCBI's taxonomy places the organism in Eukaryota, Viridiplantae, Streptophyta, Magnoliopsida, Brassicales, Brassicaceae. The transcript has 2 exons.
GAACAUCGAGUGAAACUAAGAUCUUUCAGAAUCGAGUUCAGCUUAAUGUUCCAGGCCCUAGGUGCCUGUCUUAAACCGUAGAGAGCUUUAUGUAGCCUGUAGACUUUCUCUUCUUUGCCUUUGACUACGAACCCUUCAGGUUGAGUCACAUAGACUUCCUCUUUCAGCUCCCCGUGUAAGAAUGUUGUCUUGACAUCAAGAUGGUGAAUUUCCCAUCCCUUUGAAGCUGCAAUAGCAAUGACUAAUCUGAUAGUUUCUACACGAGCUACAGGUGUAUUGCUAAAGAUUUGAUUGAUUAAUAAGAGAAGGACUUUUUGUUAAAGAGUUUGUGGUUCAACAAUUGGUAUUAGAGCGCGGUUGACGAGAAAUCUGCAAGAAAGAUCGAAAUACCCUUUGAAUGAUGAAUGAGUGAUGAAUGGGUAUCCUAUGAGUUAGGAAUGGGAGGUGUGUGUGGCAGAGAUCAAGUCAAAAGAUCAUGGAAGUCAGUUGUGGGACACGAGAUGAAUGUGAUCCUUAGUUUGAAGGGGAGAAUGUGAGAUAACAAUCUAAGUCCCACAUUGGAGAAUUAGACAAGGAGUUUCUAAUAUAUAAAGAGAUGUCCAACUCUAAUAGUACAAGGCCUUUUGGGAAGGAAACCAAAAGUAAAUCCAUGCGGGCCAGCCUCUAAAGCCCAAAAUGGACAAUAUCGUACUAAUCGGACAAUAUAGAGUUGGACACGUGGUUUCACAAUCCCAACAUAUAUCAUAUCAUUUUAUUCCAAAAUGAAUAACCAUGUUAGUCUAAGUCAAAGUCAAAACAAAUUGUCUGAGUCAACAAUAGAUAUCGCCGAGCGUAGGAUACACAGAGACGUAUGCGAAGUCAAAUAUAUAAACGGAAACUAACCAUAAAUCAAAGCAAAAAUUCUGUGUUAGUACAUUUUGCCGAGUAUAGUGUACACAUAGAGAAGAUUAUAUAUAUAUGUGUGUGUGUUAAAAUACAAACUAUUCAGUUUCAUAAGCAAAAUCGAGGAGAAGAAGAAAAAACGCAAUACAAAUUGCAACAAAAUAAUUUAAUGGCUUCAUCAAAGACAUGUUUUUUCCUUGUGUUCUUAUGUCUCGUUGUUCUCUUGAUCCCAAAAUCUGCACAAGCGGAAGAUGGCGGAAGUCAUUUGGAAAUUGUGCAAGGUCCCUGCUCGAAAUUUCCAGACUGCAAUCAACAAUGCACUGACUUAAGAUAUCCAGGUGGAGGAAAAUGCAUCAAAGUGGGUCGAUAUGUCACUUAUUUGAUGUGUGCCUGUUUUGCAUAAUCUUAUAUGAUAAUAAAAUAAUAUGUUUAAGAUAUUGAGCGAGUGGUAAAAUAUUAAUAAAAAUGUUACAAAUA